This 502-nucleotide ribosomal RNA is filed under the name uncultured bacterium. RNAcentral's name for it is "partial 16S ribosomal RNA". It matches the Rfam family "Bacterial small subunit ribosomal RNA", at positions 30 to 523 of the family's 1533-position model. The record is from RNAcentral.
AUUGAACGCUGGCGGCAUGCCUUACACAUGCAAGUCGAACGGCAGCACGGGUGCUUGCACCUGGUGGCGAGUGGCGAACGGGUGAGUAAUACAUCGGAACGUACCUUAUCGUGGGGGAUAACGCAGCGAAAGUUGCGCUAAUACCGCAUACGCCCUGAGGGGGAAAGCGGGGGACCGUAAGGCCUCGCGCGAUUAGAGCGGCCGAUGUCUGAUUAGCUUGUUGGUGAGGUAAAAGCUCACCAAGGCGAUGAUCAGUAGCUGGUCUGAGAGGACGAUAAGCCACACUGGGACUGAGACACGGCCCAGACUCCUACGGGAGGCAGCAGUGGGGAAUUUUGGACAAUGGGGGAAACCCUGAUCCAGCCAUUCCGCGUGAGUGAAGAAGGCCUUCGGGUUGUAAAGCUCUUUUGUCCGGAACGAAACGGUUAGCGUGAACAUCGCUGACUACUGACGGUACCGGAAGAAUAAGCACCGGCUAACUACGUGCCAGCCGCCGCGGUAA